RNAcentral lists this ribosomal RNA (253 nucleotides) under uncultured bacterium. RNAcentral's name for it is "partial 16S ribosomal RNA". It matches the Rfam family "Bacterial small subunit ribosomal RNA", at positions 524 to 776 of the family's 1533-position model. The record is from RNAcentral.
UACGUAGGGUGCGAGCGUUAAUCGGAAUUACUGGGCGUAAAGCGUGCGCAGGCGGCUUUGCAAGACAGAUGUGAAAUCCCCGGGCUCAACCUGGGAACUGCAUUUGUGACUGCAAGGCUAGAGUACGGCAGAGGGGGAUGGAAUUCCGCGUGUAGCAGUGAAAUGCGUAGAUAUGAGGAGGAACACCAAGGGCGAAGGCAAUCCCCUGGGCCUGUACUGACGCUUAUGCACGAAAGCGUGGGGAGCAAACAGG